CCUACGGGUGGCAGCAGUGGGGAAUAUUGGACAAUGGGCGAAAGCCUGAUCCAGCCAUGCCGCGUGUGUGAAGAAGGCCUUCGGGUUGUAAAGCACUUUCAGUGGGGAAGAAAGCCUUGGGGCUAAUACCCUCGAGGAAGGACAUCACCCACAGAAGAAGCACCGGCUAACUCCGUGCCAGCAGCCGCGGUAAUACGGAGGGUGCGAGCGUUAAUCGGAAUUACUGGGCGUAAAGCGCGCGUAGGCGGUCUGAUAAGCCGGUUGUGAAAGCCCCGGGCUCAACCUGGGAACGGCAUCCGGAACUGUCAGGCUAGAGUGAAGGAGAGGAAGGUAGAAUUCCCGGUGUAGCGGUGAAAUGCGUAGAGAUCGGGAGGAAUACCAGUGGCGAAGGCGGCUUUCUGGACUGUAACUGACGCUGAGGUGCGAAAGCGUGGGUAGCAAACAGGAUUAGAUACCCUAGUAGUC
This 465-nucleotide ribosomal RNA is filed under the name Vreelandella stevensii. RNAcentral describes it as "partial 16S ribosomal RNA". It matches the Rfam family "Bacterial small subunit ribosomal RNA", at positions 338 to 795 of the family's 1533-position model. Lineage: Bacteria; Pseudomonadati; Pseudomonadota; Gammaproteobacteria; Oceanospirillales; Halomonadaceae. The record is from RNAcentral.